Bos taurus (domestic cattle) is the source of this 610-nucleotide long non-coding RNA. The record is from Ensembl. NCBI's taxonomy places the organism in Eukaryota, Metazoa, Chordata, Mammalia, Artiodactyla, Bovidae.
GAGACGCUAGAAUCUUCUUUCCCUCAUGAAUCUUCCUGCUAGACCUUCAGGAAGGCACCUCCACUUUGCAAGUCACUCUCUGGGGAGAAAGGAGUGGCUUCAAACAACACAGUGAAAAUGUGUGAAUGAAAGGAAAACACCAAACUUAACCUGAAAAGAGACUCCUGGACUCGCCAUCCCCAGCCUUUCCUUCAAGCCUCAAUCUCUAUCAAUAAUUGGAACAACAUCCUCCAGGCAUAUUGAAGACCACAAGAAGUGAGCUCUGCCCUGCAGGGUGCCACAGAGAAAGAGAGAGACCAACUCAAAGAAAGACCUACCGCAGGGGACACAGGUUAACUGUGGUGUAGUGAAUAAGAAUCCGCAUGCCAGUGCAGGGGACACAGGUUCAAUCCCUGGUCCAGGAAGAUCCCACAUGCCCAUGUGCCACAACUAUCGACAGCCCACGAGCCUCAACUAUUAAGCCCGUGCAUCCCAGCUACUGAAGCCUGUGAGCCUAGAGCCUGUCCACAACGAGAAGCCACGGUAAUGAGAAGCCCACACGCAGCAACUAGAGCAGCCCCUGCCCACCACUAGAGAAAGCCUGCGUGCAGUGAUGAAGACCCAGCACAAC